Molecule: ribosomal RNA, 469 nt
Filed under: uncultured bacterium
Lineage: Bacteria
Description: bacterial SSU rRNA
Rfam family: Bacterial small subunit ribosomal RNA
Source: RNAcentral
GCCUUACACAUGCAAGUCGAACGGCGAGCGGGGAGGCUUGCUCCUGCGGCGAGUGGCGAACGGGUGAGUAAUGCAUCGGAACGUGUCCUGUCGUGGGGGAGUAACUGGCCGAAAGGUCAGCUAAUACCGCAUGAGACCCGAGGGUGAAAGCGGGGGAUCGCAAGACCUCGCGCGACUGGAGCGGCCGAUGUCUGAUUAGCUAGUUGGUGGGGCAACGGCCUACCAAGGCGACGAUCAGUAGCCGGUCUGAGAGGAUGAACGGCCACAUUGGAACUGAAACACGGUCCAGACUCCUACGGGAGGCAGCAGUGGGGAAUAUUGCGCAAUGGGCGAAAGCCUGACGCAGCGACGCCGCGUGAGGGAUGAAGGUCUUCGGAUCGUAAACCUCUGUCAGAAGGGAAGAAACUAGGGUGCUCUAAUCAUCAUCCUACUGACGGUACCUUCAAAGGAAGCACCGGCUAACUCCGUG